UUUAAGGCCCUUGUUGUGGCUAUUGAAACUACUUGUUCAAACUCAGCCUCUAAGAGGGAUAGGGAACUUAGAAGGCUAACUUACUCCAUUAACUAUGAUUUGAAGGAAUGGAGUGAUGAAAGGGAUAGAUCGAAAGGGAGGGGCAAUUUAUGUUUACAUGAAGCCUAAGAUCAUAUCAUGGAAUGUGCGAGGGCUCAAUAAUCGCAAUAAAUGCCUUCGUAUCAAAUCAUUAUUGCGGAUGUAGAAGGGUGAUGUGGUGUGCUUUCAAGAAACAAAGUUGCAACACAUUGAUAGAAGAAUUGUGCGAAGCCUAUAGGGAUGCUCGUAUGUGGGUUGAUCUUACUUGGCCUCUGAGGGUGCCUCAAGCAGAGUGUUACUUAUAUGGGAUAAAAGAUUGGUUGAGGCAAUUAAGGAGUGUAUUGGAGAUUUCUCAGUAGCAGCUCUUUCAUAAAUGUUGUUGAUGGAUGGGAAUGGGCAUUUGUAGACACCUAUGGUCCUAAUGUGGACAGGGAUAGAAGAAGGCUAUGGGAA
This is a long non-coding RNA of Juglans microcarpa x Juglans regia, 531 nucleotides long. RefSeq lists it as uncharacterized. Lineage: Eukaryota; Viridiplantae; Streptophyta; Magnoliopsida; Fagales; Juglandaceae. The record is from RefSeq and is a predicted model, not a curated record. The transcript has 3 exons.